Molecule: ribosomal RNA, 369 nt
Filed under: Triticum aestivum (bread wheat)
Lineage: Eukaryota; Viridiplantae; Streptophyta; Magnoliopsida; Poales; Poaceae
Description: partial small subunit ribosomal RNA
Source: RNAcentral
AUGGUUUCUGAUGCAGACGCAGACGCAGACUUCCUCGUCGGGCCGGAUGCGGCAUGCGUGGGGCUCGUGGAGGACACUGCAGGCUGGAAGCUUGUCCAGUCCCGCCGUGCGCGGCAGGCACCUCGGUCACCUUCGGUUUUCAUGCCUCAACAGCGUCCCCGGCCGCCCGCGUGGCUCUGGAAUAGAUGUUUCCGUUGCUUCGGAAAAGGUCAUCGAGCAGCGGAGUGCAGGGAUCCAAUUCGGUGCAACAGAUGCUUUCGCUCGGGACACCGUGCACGGGAUGGCUGCAAGCUGGUGCAUCCGCAGCCUUCUGCAAGUUCUACUCGACCGCUGGCUCAUUCUUGGGCUACGAUUGUUGCGCCUUCAUAG